Molecule: ribosomal RNA, 256 nt
Filed under: uncultured bacterium
Lineage: Bacteria
Description: partial 16S ribosomal RNA
Rfam family: Bacterial small subunit ribosomal RNA
Source: RNAcentral
UACGUAGGGUGCAAGCGUUAAUCGGAAUUACUGGGCGUAAAGCGUGCGCAGGCGGUUUUGUAAGUCUGUCGUGAAAGCCCCGGGCUUAACCUGGGAAUUGCGAUGGAGACUGCAAGGCUUGAAUCUGGCAGAGGGGGGGUAGAAAUUCCACGUGUAGCAGUGAAAUGCGUAGAGAUGUGGAGGAACACCGAUGGCGAAGGCAGCCCCCCUGGGUCAAGAUUGACGCUCAUGCACGAAAGCGUGGGGAGCAAACAGG